RNAcentral lists this ribosomal RNA (253 nucleotides) under uncultured bacterium. Its description in RNAcentral is "partial 16S ribosomal RNA". It matches the Rfam family "Bacterial small subunit ribosomal RNA", at positions 524 to 776 of the family's 1533-position model. The record is from RNAcentral.
UACGAAGGGUGCAAGCGUUACUCGGAAUUACUGGGCGUAAAGGGUGCGUAGGUGGUUUGUUAAGUCUGCUGUGAAAUCCCCGGGCUCAACCUGGGAAUGGCAGUGGAUACUGGCAAGCUAGAGUGCGGUAGAGGGUAGUGGAAUUCCCGGUGUAGCGGUGAAAUGCGCAGAUAUCAGGAGGAACACCGAUGGCGAAGGCAAGUCUCUGGGCCACUACUGACGCUGAGAAGCGAAAGCAUGGGGAGCGAACAGG